This 244-nucleotide long non-coding RNA is filed under the name Lathyrus oleraceus (garden pea). RNAcentral describes it as "Pisum sativum (pea) long non-coding RNA (PSAT_LNC029280)". Lineage: Eukaryota; Viridiplantae; Streptophyta; Magnoliopsida; Fabales; Fabaceae. The record is from RNAcentral.
UCUAGGCGAGAUCUUCAUGCAAACCAAGCGAAAUAUACAUCUCAUACGCCAACACUACACAACCUCUAAAUUUAAUUAUGGCUCUACGGUUCUAAAGAAGGUUCCUAUAGUCACGUACCUUAUUUGGGAGCAUUUCCAUCAAUAACGAAUGAACCAUUAGAUGAUACACAACCUCUAACUAAACUUAAGCUUUUUCAUACUCAGGUAUAGAGCCCUCUCCAAAGUGUGUGUAAGGUGAAGGAAA